RNAcentral lists this long non-coding RNA (419 nucleotides) under Calidris pugnax (ruff). Its description in RNAcentral is "lncRNA (ENSCPUG00000019664.1)". Lineage: Eukaryota; Metazoa; Chordata; Aves; Charadriiformes; Scolopacidae. The record is from RNAcentral.
GUGUACCUUACCCACAUUUCUCAUUGUUCUCAUCGCUUCCAAUGGGAGUUUUGCUCAGGAAGUGCAAAAUAGAGCUGAAAAGAUUUGAUCAAUCUCUACCCACUCAAUAUGGGGAAAAAAAGUGACUACACCACAAAUUCCUACCGAGCUUCCUGAAGAUGUGAUGGUUGCUGAAGGAAGGGUUGCUCUUUCAUACUUGCAGAGGUAUCAGAAGAGAGUGGAAUUGGCUCCGUUGGACUAAGAGGAGACUUUCAGUGUCUGGGAGCUGCCAUCAGCUGGUGUUUUUGCACAUCUCGCAAAAUGUGGACAAAUGUGACAGAGCUCAAGGAGAGAGGUAACUCCUAGCUAUCUGGCAGCUUGUAUCCUGCAGAGACUAAAAUCAAAGUUGUUUAUGUGAUUUCAGGCUAAUUUCUGCCAAU